RNAcentral lists this small RNA (1796 nucleotides) under Pan troglodytes (chimpanzee). RNAcentral's name for it is "processed transcript". Lineage: Eukaryota; Metazoa; Chordata; Mammalia; Primates; Hominidae. The record is from RNAcentral.
GCCUUCCCUAUGUUCACCACCAACAAUCGAGUGAAGAGGAGACCUUCCCCCUAUGAGAUGGAGAUUACUGAUGGCACUGACCCUCAGGGAUUCCCUGCACUUCCUCCCAAGUCUUCCUUAGAGUCUGGAGUCUGCUUCCUCCCUGCAAUGGAGUCAUCAAGGGUUUUCUCCAAGGUCCCUACACAGUAGGCUCCCCUUGUCUCCCGUUAACACAUUCUGGGCUUAGACCUGGAGUUCCCUUCCUGACAUCAUGGAUUCUACCUUGCCCCCUGGAUUCCCCGAGAAGGGCCUUGGCACUGCUCCUUUGAGGUCCCCACACCAAAGUUGUGCGGCGUAUCUUCACCAACAGCCGGGAGCGAUGGCGGCAGCAGAAUGUGAACGGGGCCUUUGCCGAGCUCCGCAAGCUGAUCCCCACACAUCCCCCGGACAAGAAGCUCAGCAAGAAUGAGAUCCUCCGCCUGGCCAUGAAGUAUAUCAACUUCUUGGCCAAGCUGCUCAAUGACCAGGAGGAGGAGGGCACCCAGCGGGCCAAGACUGGCAAGGACCCUGUGGUGGGGGCUGGUGGGGGUGGAGGUGGGGGAGGGGGCGGCGCGCCCCCAGAUGACCUCCUGCAAGACGUGCUUUCCCCCAACUCCAGCUGCGGCAGCUCCCUGGAUGGGGCAGCCAGCCCGGACAGCUACACGGAGGAGCCCGCGCCCAAGCACACGGCCCGCAGCCUCCAUCCUGCCAUGCUGCCUGCCGCCGAUGGAGCCGGCCCUCGGUGAUGGGUCUGGGCCACCAGGCUCAGCCAGGAGGGCGUUCUUAGGCUGCUGGGAUGGUGGACUUCAGGGCAGGUGGGGUGAGAAUUGGGCGGCUCUGAAGCAAGGCGGUGGACUUGAACUUUCCUGGAUGUCUGAACUUUGGGAAGCCUUUACUGACCCUGGGGCUGGCUUUUCUGUUUCCUGUACCAGUAGGAGAUCAGAAAAAUGGAGCAAAGUGGUAGGUACUUUUUGUGAAGACGGCACGGUCUUCCCUCUUCCCUCAGUCCCAAAUCCUUCCCAAGUAAGAGGCUGGAGUUGUCACUGCUUUUGGCCUGGAGUUUGGGAUCCCUGUCUUUCCUAAGACCUGGGGUUGUCAGCUCUCAUCUGAGGCAUCCAGCAGUCUCUGCCUUGCCUUUAGCCCCUCCCAAGCUGGCUGGGGUGGCCUGUGUGGCCACUUCUGUCCAUAUUUAUAGGUACCCAAUAGCUGCCCAUUUCGUGAGCCCCAUCUUCACCCAGGCCUAUGUUGAUCCAUCCAGCUUGCCAGAUGCUGCAGAGUCACAAGCCUCGAGGUGCCUUCUUCAGGGCCUGGUUGAAGAAGAUGAUCAGUGGACAGUCUGCUCUAGAUGAGCUGGGCCGGAGGGUCAGGAAACCCAGUCGCCCUUACUUUUUGCCCUGGGGAUCAAAGUUCUGCUUUCUCCCCAAUGAGACUUGCCUUCCUAAGCCUGUGGCUGUGGAGACCGUGUCUGCAGCCCUGAGAAAGCCCUGUCGGGCUUUGUGUGAAGGCAGAGAAAGGGACAAUGAUAGUAGAGUGAUAUGGAGCAAGAGAUAUUUUGGGCAUGUGGGCUUCAACUCCUCGACAUCACUGUUCAUGCUGGCGAGUGAAUGCCAGUGUGCUGAUGGGCGUACGCUGGUGCUGAGUAGAUGUGCAGCCCCAUCUGUGCAUUCUCCUGGAUGCUUAGAGGGAUUUCUUUGCUGUAAGAUGUCUGUUUGCUGAUGGUCUGGUCUAUGUUCCGAAUUGAGCACAAACUCUGUCCUAUGAAUGCUUUGCAUUUGGAA